Molecule: ribosomal RNA, 2027 nt
Filed under: human gut metagenome
Description: bacterial LSU rRNA
Rfam family: Bacterial large subunit ribosomal RNA
Source: RNAcentral
CAGUACCGUGAGGGAAAGGCGAAAAGAACCCCGGCGAGGGGAGUGAAAAAGAACCUGAAACCGUGUACGUACAAGCAGUGGGAGCCUCUUAAUGGGGUGACUGCGUACCUUUUGUAUAAUGGGUCAGCGACUUAUAUUCUGUAGCAAGGUUAACCGAAUAGGGGAGCCGAAGGGAAACCGAGUCUUAACUGGGCGUUAAGUUGCAGGGUAUAGACCCGAAACCCGGUGAUCUAGCCAUGGGCAGGUUGAAGGUUGGGUAACACUAACUGGAGGACCGAACCGACUAAUGUUGAAAAAUUAGCGGAUGACUUGUGGCUGGGGGUGAAAGGCCAAUCAAACCGGGAGAUAGCUGGUUCUCCCCGAAAGCUAUUUAGGUAGCGCCUCGUGAAUUCAUCUCCGGGGGUAGAGCACUGUUUCGGCAAGGGGGUCAUCCCGACUUACCAACCCGAUGCAAACUGCGAAUACCGGAGAAUGUUAUCACGGGAGACACACGGCGGGUGCUAACGUCCGUCGUGAAGAGGGAAACAACCCAGACCGCCAGCUAAGGUCCCAAAGUCAUGGUUAAGUGGGAAACGAUGUGGGAAGGCCCAGACAGCCAGGAUGUUGGCUUAGAAGCAGCCAUCAUUUAAAGAAAGCGUAAUAGCUCACUGGUCGAGUCGGCCUGCGCGGAAGAUGUAACGGGGCUAAACCAUGCACCGAAGCUGCGGCAGCGACACUAUGUGUUGUUGGGUAGGGGAGCGUUCUGUAAGCCUGUGAAGGUGGCCUGUGAGGGUUGCUGGAGGUAUCAGAAGUGCGAAUGCUGACAUAAGUAACGAUAAAGCGGGUGAAAAGCCCGCUCGCCGGAAGACCAAGGGUUCCUGUCCAACGUUAAUCGGGGCAGGGUGAGUCGACCCCUAAGGCGAGGCCGAAAGGCGUAGUCGAUGGGAAACAGGUUAAUAUUCCUGUACUUGGUGUUACUGCGAAGGGGGGACGGAGAAGGCUAUGUUGGCCGGGCGACGGUUGUCCCGGUUUAAGCGUGUAGGCUGGUUUUCCAGGCAAAUCCGGAAAACCAAGGCUGAGGCGUGAUGACGAAGCACUACGGUGCUGAAGCGACAAAUGCCCUGCUUCCAGGAAAAGCCUCUAAGCAUCAGGUAACAUCAAAUCGUACCCCAAACCGACACAGGUGGUCAGGUAGAGAAUACCAAGGCGCUUGAGAGAACUCGGGUGAAGGAACUAGGCAAAAUGGUGCCGUAACUUCGGGAGAAGGCACGCUGAUAUGUAGGUGAAGCGACUUGCUCGUGGAGCUGAAAUCAGUCGAAGAUACCAGCUGGCUGCAACUGUUUAUUAAAAACACAGCACUGUGCAAACACGAAAGUGGACGUAUACGGUGUGACGCCUGCCCGGUGCCGGAAGGUUAAUUGAUGGGGUUAGCGGUAACGCGAAGCUCUUGAUCGAAGCCCCGGUAAACGGCGGCCGUAACUAUAACGGUCCUAAGGUAGCGAAAUUCCUUGUCGGGUAAGUUCCGACCUGCACGAAUGGCGUAAUGAUGGCCAGGCUGUCUCCACCCGAGACUCAGUGAAAUUGAACUCGCUGUGAAGAUGCAGUGUACCCGCGGCAAGACGGAAAGACCCCGUGAACCUUUACUAUAGCUUGACACUGAACAUUGAGCCUUGAUGUGUAGGAUAGGUGGGAGGCUUUGAAGUGUGGACGCCAGUCUGCAUGGAGCCGACCUUGAAAUACCACCCUUUAAUGUUUGAUGUUCUAACGUUGGCCCGUAAUCCGGGUUGCGGACAGUGUCUGGUGGGUAGUUUGACUGGGGCGGUCUCCUCCUAAAGAGUAACGGAGGAGCACGAAGGUUGGCUAAUCCUGGUCGGACAUCAGGAGGUUAGUGCAAUGGCAUAAGCCAGCUUGACUGCGAGCGUGACGGCGCGAGCAGGUGCGAAAGCAGGUCAUAGUGAUCCGGUGGUUCUGAAUGGAAGGGCCAUCGCUCAACGGAUAAAAGGUACUCCGGGGAUAACAGGCUGAUACCGCCCAAGAGUUCAUAUCGA